AUGGCGGCGGCGAGGGCGGGCGCGGCUGCCCGGCGGCUGUGCCACGCGGCGGCGGCGGCGCAGCCCCCGCGCCUGAAGAAGCUCGCGCUGCACCCGCCCAAAUCCGUAGAGGUUCAAUUUGCAGAUGGCAGUACAUUCCAUCUGUCGGCUGAGUUUCUCAGAGUCUACAGUCCAGCAGCUGACAGCAAGAUCAGAUCAAUAGCUGGCGAGAAGGUUAUAUUUGGGCGCCGACAUGUUGGAAUAAUGUCAGCUGAAUCAAUAGGAAACUAUGGAGUCCGGAUACUGUUUGAUGAUUUGCACAAGACUGGGAUCUUCACUUGGGAUUACUUGCACCAUCUGGGUUCUAACAAAUUCAGUCUAUCACGAAAUUAUAUCAGAACUUUGAGGAAACAUGGUCUUAGUCGGGAUCCUCAGAGAAGGAAAUGA
RNAcentral lists this ribosomal RNA (426 nucleotides) under Triticum aestivum (bread wheat). RNAcentral's name for it is "partial small subunit ribosomal RNA". Lineage: Eukaryota; Viridiplantae; Streptophyta; Magnoliopsida; Poales; Poaceae. The record is from RNAcentral.